Molecule: transfer RNA, 71 nt
Filed under: Stegodyphus mimosarum
Lineage: Eukaryota; Metazoa; Arthropoda; Arachnida; Araneae; Eresidae
Rfam family: tRNA
About the family: Transfer RNA (tRNA) molecules are approximately 80 nucleotides in length. Their secondary structure includes four short double-helical elements and three loops (D, anti-codon, and T loops).
Source: Rfam by way of RNAcentral
GCCUUCGUAGCGUAACGGUAGCACAAUCGAUGCGUAUUCGAGAGGUCAGGGUUCGAGUCCCGGCGACGGCA